Molecule: RNA transcript, 910 nt
Organism: Phalaenopsis equestris
Lineage: Eukaryota; Viridiplantae; Streptophyta; Magnoliopsida; Asparagales; Orchidaceae
Exons: 4
Source: RefSeq, a predicted model, not a curated record
UGGUAUCUUCCAUUGUACCAAGGUUCUUUCCUCACGGCAAGCAUAGAGUGACAGUCUUAUGCCAACUUUCUUGUUUGCGUUGAGCAUUGGGUCAACGAUUACCUCUAUCCAUCCAUUUUUACCACCAGUUUUGGCAUAGGGCAUCUACCUUUCUAAUAAGAACAUCAAACCCCACCGUCCUGUUUUGCAUAUAUGCACAUCAGUUUGGUAUCUGAGAGCCUCAUGGUUCUUGAGCACAUAAUUUUCUUGUUGGGCUUUUUUGUUCUUGUUGGAUGUUUCUUCUUUUAGGAACACUUCUAUUUGCCACACAAAAGGUGGGAUGUCGAGAGAAUUUAUGAUAAUGAGAAGGCACGACUAAAUAUUGAACAGAGAACAAAACAAUAUGAAAAACAUGCUAAAAAGGGGCGACACAAAAUGAUCUUUGAGCCUGGAGAUUGGGUCUGGUUACACAUGAAAAAGAAAAAUUUCCAGGACAUAGACAUUCCAAACUACUUCCAGGAGGAGAUGGUCCUUUCGAAGUACUUGAGCGUAUCAACGACAAUGCCUAUAAGCUGGAUCAACCAGGUAAGUAUAAUGUGUGCACCAUUUUCAAAGUUACUAAUUUAUGUCCUAUUGAUUUAGGCACUUAUUUGAGGACAAAUCCUUUUCAAGAGGAGGGGAAUGAUGAAAUGAUGGCAUUGAUGGCAAUGACAUGACUUCAAGAGAAGAUUUAAUUCAACUUUCAUGUGGGCAAACUUCCAGAUGUCGUGCAAAGAGGGUGAAAGAAGCUCUUAAUAGAUUAGUCCAGGAGGCUUGUACUCAAGACAAUUCAUGGGGAUCUAAGAAGAAAGAGGCACAAAGAUUUGUCAACUUAUUUCAAGUCCGAGGAUAAAGAAGUUAUAUUAUUAUUGCUAGGUAUUUUGUAUUUUUA